Long non-coding RNA from Electrophorus electricus (electric eel), 745 nucleotides. The record is from Ensembl. NCBI's taxonomy places the organism in Eukaryota, Metazoa, Chordata, Actinopteri, Gymnotiformes, Gymnotidae.
CACAGGCACACGGGGGGGACCAGAACAGACAGAAGAGAAGCAGGCUGAGAGAUCUUAAGGUGCAACAGAGAAAAAAAGAGAGAGAGAGAGAGAGAGAGAGAGAGAGAGAGAGAGAGAGAAUGUGGAGGACAGAGUGACAGACACAGAGAGAGUGGAGAAAAAAGAAUUGACAGACAGAUACAGAGAGAAAGAGAGAGAAAGAGUGGAGUACAGGGUGAAGGACAGAGAGAUUGAAAGUAAGAGAGAGAGAGAACAAGAAAUACAAACCCUUCGAGGACCUUACAGACUGGUGACGUAGCUCUACCCCGAAGACGAACGUGGUGGUCAUCAGCUUGCCAUGGCAACCAAAAUAGUAACAUUUCAUUGCCUGGAGGCCCAGGAGGAGCAGAUGUCUCACAGCAUGGAACUGUCCUCUCAGCUCAGGAAGAAGAAGUUUACAUCCAGUGAUGAAGAGGCCUCCCUCUGCAAGUUCUAUCCCAUCAUCCCCGGCGACAUCAUGUCAGUAAAGGAGAUUCUAACGGAGCCCAAAUUCCCACGUCACAGGACAUGGGAGGUCCUGAGGGAAACCCUGGCUGACGAUGAGCUCCGCCAAAGGGACCAGUGGACGCUUUUUGGUAACGAGGCCGAAAAGGUCGAAGUCGAGGUGAUCCGCAACCAACACGAGGUCCGCAGGCGGGUGGACCGCUUGGCGCUGCGCAGAGAGGUGAAGAAAAGCGACUGCACGCGUUAUUCUCGUCACCUGUAG